Molecule: ribosomal RNA, 735 nt
Filed under: uncultured Fusobacterium sp.
Lineage: Bacteria; Fusobacteriati; Fusobacteriota; Fusobacteriia; Fusobacteriales; Fusobacteriaceae
Description: bacterial SSU rRNA
Rfam family: Bacterial small subunit ribosomal RNA
Source: RNAcentral
GAUGAACGCUGACAGAAUGCUUAACACAUGCAAGUCAACUUGAAUUUGGGUUUUUAACUUAGAUUUGGGUGGCGGACGGGUGAGUAACGCGUAAAGAACUUGCCUCACAGCUAGGGACAACAUUUAGAAAUGAAUGCUAAUACCUGAUAUUAUGAUUUUAAGGCAUCUUAGAAUUAUGAAAGCUAUAAGCACUGUGAGAGAGCUUUGCGUCCCAUUAGCUAGUUGGAGAGGUAACAGCUCACCAAGGCGAUGAUGGGUAGCCGGCCUGAGAGGGUGAACGGCCACAAGGGGACUGAGACACGGCCCUUACUCCUACGGGAGGCAGCAGUGGGGAAUAUUGGACAAUGGACCAAGAGUCUGAUCCAGCAAUUCUGUGUGCACGAUGAAGUUUUUCGGAAUGUAAAGUGCUUUCAGUUGGGAAGAAAAAAAUGACGGUACCAACAGAAGAAGUGACGGCUAAAUACGUGCCAGCAGCCGCGGUAAUACGUAUGUCACGAGCGUUAUCCGGAUUUAUUGGGCGUAAAGCGCGUCUAGGUGGUUAUAUAAGUCUGAUGUGAAAAUGCAGGGCUCAACUCUGUAUUGCGUUGGAAACUGUAUAACUAGAGUACUGGAGAGGUAAGCGGAACUACAAGUGUAGAGGUGAAAUUCGUAGAUAUUUGUAGGAAUGCCGAUGGGGAAGCCAGCUUACUGGACAGAUACUGACGCUGAAGCGCGAAAGCGUGGGUAGCAAACAGG